This 200-nucleotide unclassified non-coding RNA is filed under the name Xylariales sp. RNAcentral describes it as "partial internal transcribed spacer 2". The record is from RNAcentral. Lineage: Eukaryota; Fungi; Ascomycota; Sordariomycetes; Xylariales.
UUAAGUUCAGCGGGUAUUCCUACCUGAUCCGAGGUCAACCAACUAAAAAGUAUAGGGCUUAUGGCGACGGCUACAGCGCAACAGUAAGCGGUAAUAGAUCUACUACGCUAAGAGUGCAACUGCGACCCUGCCACUGACUUUGAGGAGUUACCGUACGGUAAUGCUCCCAACGCUAAGCAACUAGGCUUAAUGGACUUAAU